This 22-nucleotide ribosomal RNA is filed under the name Rhizopus microsporus. Its description in RNAcentral is "partial 28S ribosomal RNA". Lineage: Eukaryota; Fungi; Mucoromycota; Mucoromycetes; Mucorales; Rhizopodaceae. The record is from RNAcentral.
AACUAUGAUCUGAAGUCAAGUG